UACGAAGGGGGCUAGCGUUGCUCGGAAUUACUGGGCGUAAAGGGCGCGUAGGCGGAUAUUUAAGUUGGGGGUGAAAUCCCGGGGCUCAACCUCGGAAUUGCCUUCAAAACUGGAUAUCUUGAGUUCGGGAGAGGUGAGUGGAACUCCGAGUGUAGAGGUGAAAUUCGUAGAUAUUCGCAAGAACACCAGUGGCGAAGGCGGCUCACUGGCCCGGUACUGACGCUGAGGUGCGAAAGCGUGGGGAGCAAACAGG
Molecule: ribosomal RNA, 253 nt
Filed under: uncultured bacterium
Lineage: Bacteria
Description: partial 16S ribosomal RNA
Rfam family: Bacterial small subunit ribosomal RNA
Source: RNAcentral